GAGUUUGAUCAUGGCUCAGAUUGAACGCUGGCGGCAGGCCUAACACAUGCAAGUCGAACGGUAACAGGAAACAGCUUGCUGUUUCGCUGACGAGUGGCGGACGGGUGAGUAAUGUCUGGGAAACUGCCUGAUGGAGGGGGAUAACUACUGGAAACGGUAGCUAAUACCGCAUAACGUCGCAAGACCAAAGAGGGGGACCUUCGGGCCUCUUGCCAUCAGAUGUGCCCAGAUGGGAUUAGCUAGUAGGUGGGAUAACGGCUCACCUAGGCGACGAUCCCUAGCUGGUCUGAGAGGAUGACCAGCCACACCGGAACUGAGACACGGUCCAGACUCCUACGGGAGGCAGCAGUGGGGAAUAUUGCACAAUGGGCGCAAGCCUGAUGCAGCCAUGCCGCGUGUAUGAAGAAGGCCUUCGGGUUGUAAAGUACUUUCAGCGGGGAGGAAGGGAGUAAAGUUAAUACCUUUGCUCAUUGACGUUACCCGCAGAAGAAGCACCGGCUAACUCCGUGCCAGCAGCCGCGGUAAUACGGAGGGUGCAAGCGUUAAUCGGAAUUACUGGGCGUAAAGCGCACGCAGGCGGUUUGUUAAGUCAGAUGUGAAAUCCCCGGGCUCAACCUGGGAACUGCAUCUGAUACUGGCAAGCUUGAGUCUCGUAGAGGGGGGUAGAAUUCCAGGUGUAGCGGUGAAAUGCGUAGAGAUCUGGAGGAAUACCGGUGGCGAAGGCGGCCCCCUGGACGAAGACUGACGCUCAGGUGCGAAAGCGUGGGGAGCAAACAGGAUUAGAUACCCUGGUAGUCCACGCCGUAAACGAUGUCGACUUGGAGGUUGUGCCCUUGAGGCGUGGCUUCCGGAGCUAACGCGUUAAGUCGACCGCCUGGGGAGUACGGCCGCAAGGUUAAAACUCAAAUGAAUUGACGGGGGCCCGCACAAGCGGUGGAGCAUGUGGUUUAAUUCGAUGCAACGCGAAGAACCUUACCUGGUCUUGACAUCCACGGAAGUUUUCAGAGAUGAGAAUGUGCCUUCGGGAACCGUGAGACAGGUGCUGCAUGGCUGUCGUCAGCUCGUGUUGUGAAAUGUUGGGUUAAGUCCCGCAACGAGCGCAACCCUUAUCCUUUGUUGCCAGCGGUCCGGCCGGGAACUCAAAGGAGACUGCCAGUGAUAAACUGGAGGAAGGUGGGGAUGACGUCAAGUCAUCAUGCCCCUUACGACCAGGGCUACACACGUGCUACAAUGGCGCAUACAAAGAGAAGCGACCUCGCGAGAGCAAGCGGACCUCAUAAAGUGCGUCGUAGUCCGGAUUGGAGUCUGCAACUCGACUCCAUGAAGUCGGAAUCGCUAGUAAUCGUGGAUCAGAAUGCCACGGUGAAUACGUUCCCGGGCCUUGUACACACCGCCCGUCACACCAUGGGAGUGGGUUGCAAAAGAAGUAGAUAGCUUAACCUUCGGGAGGGCGCUUACCACUUUGUGAUUCAUGACUGGGGUGAAGUCGUAACAAGGUAACCGUAGGGGAACCUGCGGUUG
This 1521-nucleotide ribosomal RNA is filed under the name metagenome. RNAcentral describes it as "bacterial SSU rRNA". It matches the Rfam family "Bacterial small subunit ribosomal RNA". The record is from RNAcentral.